RNAcentral lists this ribosomal RNA (397 nucleotides) under uncultured bacterium. RNAcentral's name for it is "bacterial SSU rRNA". It matches the Rfam family "Bacterial small subunit ribosomal RNA", at positions 521 to 916 of the family's 1533-position model. The record is from RNAcentral.
UAAAACGUAGGAGCCAAGCGUUAUCCGAAUUCACUGGGCGUAAAGCGCGUGCAGGCGGCCCGAUAAGUUGGAUGUGAAAUCUCCUGGCUCAACUGGGAGAGGCCGUUCAAUACUGUUGGGCUCGAGGGCGACAGAGGGAGGUGGAAUUCCGGGUGUAGUGGUGAAAUGCGUAGAUAUCCGGAGGAACACCAGAGGCGAAGGCGACCUCCUGGGUCGUACCUGACGCUCAGACGCGAAAGCUAGGGGAGCGAACGGGAUUAGAAACCCCGGUAGUCCUAGCCGUAAACGAUGUAGACUGGGUGUCGGCGGGGUAAAAGCCGUCGGUGCCGAAGCCAACGCGAUAAGUCUACCGCCUGGGGACUACGGCCGCAAGGUUAAAACUUAAAUGAAUUGACGG